This 74-nucleotide transfer RNA is filed under the name Candidatus Legionella polyplacis. RNAcentral's name for it is "Legionella endosymbiont of Polyplax serrata tRNA-Cys". It matches the Rfam family "tRNA". Rfam says of the family: Transfer RNA (tRNA) molecules are approximately 80 nucleotides in length. Their secondary structure includes four short double-helical elements and three loops (D, anti-codon, and T loops). Lineage: Bacteria; Pseudomonadati; Pseudomonadota; Gammaproteobacteria; Legionellales; Legionellaceae. The record is from RNAcentral.
GGCUGUGUGGCAGAGUGGUUAUGCAGCGGCCUGCAAAGCCGUAUACGUCGGUUCAAAUCCGACCUCAGCCUCCU